RNAcentral lists this ribosomal RNA (420 nucleotides) under bacterium. Its description in RNAcentral is "partial 16S ribosomal RNA". It matches the Rfam family "Bacterial small subunit ribosomal RNA", at positions 355 to 776 of the family's 1533-position model. The record is from RNAcentral.
UGGGGGAUAUUGCACAAUGGGCGAAAGCCUGAUGCAGCGACGCCGCGUGGGGGAUGAAGGCUUUCGGGUUGUAAUCCUCUUUCGCUAUCGAACAAGGCCCGCUUAGGGUGGGGUGAGGGUAGGUGGAGAAGAAGCGCCGGCUAACUACGUGCCAGCAGCCGCGGUAAUACGUAGGGCGCGAGCGUUGUCCGGAAUUAUUGGGCGUAAAGGGCUUGUAGGCGGCUUGUUGCGCCUGCUGUGAAAACGCGGGGCUUAACUCAGCGCGUGCAGUCGGUACGGGCAGGCUUGAGUGUGGUAGGGGUGACUGGAAUUCCAGGUGUAGCGGUGGAAUGCGCAGAUAUCUGGAGGAACAACGAUGGCGAAGGCAGGUCACUGGGCCAUUACUGACGCUGAGGAGCGAAAGCAUGGGUAGCGAACAGG